UUUGGGAGGCCGAGGCUGGAAGAUCGCUUGAACCUGGGAGUUUGAGACCAGCCUGGGCAACAUAGUGAGACCUCAUUUCUACAAAAA
RNAcentral lists this microRNA precursor (87 nucleotides) under Chlorocebus sabaeus (green monkey). Its description in RNAcentral is "miRNA (ENSCSAG00000022470.1)". The record is from RNAcentral. Lineage: Eukaryota; Metazoa; Chordata; Mammalia; Primates; Cercopithecidae.